RNAcentral lists this ribosomal RNA (477 nucleotides) under uncultured bacterium. Its description in RNAcentral is "partial 16S ribosomal RNA". It matches the Rfam family "Bacterial small subunit ribosomal RNA", at positions 899 to 1397 of the family's 1533-position model. The record is from RNAcentral.
ACUCAAAGGAAUUGACGGGGGCCCGCACAAGCAGCGGAGCGUGUGGUUUAAUUCGACGCAACACGCAGCACCUUACCCAGACUGGACAUGCGAGUGCAAGCCGUGGAAACGCGGUCGCCUUCGAGGGUCUCGCACAGAUGCUGCAUGGCUGUCGUCAGCUCGUGUCGUGAGAUGUUGGGUUCAGUCCCGCAACGAGCGCAACCCCCGCGGUCAGUUACCUGUGUCUGACCGGACAGCCCUUCGGGGAGGAAGGCGGGGAUGACGUCAAGUCCGCAUGGCUCUUACGUCUGGGGCAACACACACGCUACAAUGGCCGAAGCAGAGCGUCGCGACGGAGCAAUCCGGGGCAAAUCGCCAAGGUCGGUCUCAGUGCAGAUCGGGGGCUGCAACUCGCCCCCGUGAAGGCGGAGUUGCUAGUAACCGCGUAUCAGCGAUGGCGCGGUGAAUACGUACCCGGGCCUUGUACACACCGCCCGU